This is a long non-coding RNA of Asparagus officinalis (garden asparagus), 312 nucleotides long. RefSeq lists it as uncharacterized. The transcript has 3 exons. The record is from RefSeq and is a predicted model, not a curated record. NCBI's taxonomy places the organism in Eukaryota, Viridiplantae, Streptophyta, Magnoliopsida, Asparagales, Asparagaceae.
GUGCCAUAUUUAUGCCUUUUUUGCCUCUCUAAAUUUACCUAUUUUUGUUGGUUGAGGGAGCAGAACUAUUCCUAUCAAUAUGUCCCUCGCGUCCCCAAGUCUUAUUUGUGGGGGGUGUAUCGCUUCCAUUCAUUUUUCACUAGGUGAAAAAGAUGAAGCUGGCCAUAUACGAACCUGCUCCAAGCUGCAUCUUUCGGUGAGUCCCUCUGGCUAUUGUAAGCCGAAGAUUGCAGCUGUAGCAAAUAUUUGAAUACCCAAUGCAGAAGCCUAGCAAACAAGGCAGAAGUCUAUGAAAAUUUGCAAAUUUGGAUC